GGUUCUAAAAUAAGUUUGUAGUGAAAAUAUAAUAGAACUAAAAGGACGCGGUAACCUUGACCGUGAUAAUGUAGCAUAAUCACUCGCCAUUUAAUUGGUGGAUAGUAUGAAUGGUUGAACGAAUAUCUCACUGUCUUAAAGAAAACUAAAAGAAAUUGACAUAAUAGUUAAGAUGCUAUUUUAAACUGUAAGACGAAAAGACCCUAUAGAGCUUAACUAUAAUCUCUAUUAAUAAAAUAAAUUACUAAUUUAUAAUUUAUAGAGGUUGGUAGUUUAGUUGGGGCGACUAUCUUUUAAAUACAACAAAGAUAAGCAAUAUUAAUAAAUAAUUUAUUGUAUAAUUAAUUUAUUUAACAAUUAUAAAAAUAGGCUAUAAUGACCCGUUAAUACUUCAUAAACAAAUUAACGAUCAAUUGAUAAAAGCUACCUUAGGGAUAACAGGAUAAUUUCAUUUUAGAGCUCCUAUCGAAAAUGAAGUUUGUCACCUCUAUGUUGAAUUAA
Molecule: ribosomal RNA, 501 nt
Filed under: Clytia sp. 701AC
Lineage: Eukaryota; Metazoa; Cnidaria; Hydrozoa; Leptothecata; Clytiidae
Description: partial 16S ribosomal RNA
Rfam family: Bacterial large subunit ribosomal RNA
Source: RNAcentral